AGUGGGAUAGCUGGGUCAAAUUGUGGUUCCAUUCCAAGUUUUCUAAGGAAUCUCCAUACCCCUUUUCAUAAUGAUUGCAUCAAUUUGCAGUCCCACCAGCAAU
RNAcentral lists this microRNA precursor (103 nucleotides) under Marmota monax (woodchuck). Lineage: Eukaryota; Metazoa; Chordata; Mammalia; Rodentia; Sciuridae. The record is from RNAcentral.